GGUCCAGACUCCUACGGGAGGCAGCAGUGAGGAAUAUUGGUCAAUGGGCGAGAGCCGGAACCAGCCAAGUCGCGUGAGGGAGUACUGCCCUAUGGGUUGUAAACCUCUUUUGUCGGGGAGCAAAAGCCGGACGUGUCCGUCUGUGAGAGUACCCGAAGAAAAAGCAUCGGCUAACUCCGUGCCAGCAGCCGCGGUAAUACGGAGGAUGCGAGCGUUAUCCGGAUUUAUUGGGUUUAAGGGUGCGCAGGCGGAUUUUUAAGUCAGCGGUCAAAUCGUGGGGCUCAACCCCAUCCAGCCGUUGAAACUGGGGAUCUAGAGUGUGCGAGAGGUAUGCGGAAUGCGUGGUGUAGCGGUGAAAUGCAUAGAUAUCGCGCAGAACUCCGAUUGCGAAGGCAGCAUGCCGGCUCCACACUGACGCUGAGGCACGAAAGCGUGGGUAUCGAACAGGAUUAGAUACCCGCGUACAA
This 467-nucleotide ribosomal RNA is filed under the name uncultured bacterium. Its description in RNAcentral is "bacterial SSU rRNA". It matches the Rfam family "Bacterial small subunit ribosomal RNA", at positions 328 to 795 of the family's 1533-position model. The record is from RNAcentral.